RNAcentral lists this ribosomal RNA (253 nucleotides) under uncultured bacterium. RNAcentral's name for it is "partial 16S ribosomal RNA". It matches the Rfam family "Bacterial small subunit ribosomal RNA", at positions 524 to 776 of the family's 1533-position model. The record is from RNAcentral.
UACGAAGGGGGCUAGCGUUGCUCGGAAUCACUGGGCUUAAAGCGUGUGUAGGCGGAUCGUUAAGUACCUUGUGAAAUCCCACGGCUCAACCGUGGAACUGCUGGGUAUACUGGCGAUCUUGAGCCACCUAGGGGCGAGCGGAACAAGCGGUGGAGCGGUGAAAUGCGUAGAUAUCGCUUGGAACGCCGACGGUGAAAACAGCUCGCUGGGGGUGUGCUGACGCUGAGACACGAAAGCCAGGGGAGCGAACGGG